AGACAUUUUAGGUAAGGAAAAAUGACUGCUCCAAGGUCAAAUACCCUCAAAAGUACUCAGAUGUGGCUUCGCUCCCCUGACUAUAAGCAAAGACCAUGCAUCUCCCUUUAAGGUGUCUUGAAAUGUCAGCUGAAAUCAAGAUAAUUCCCCUCGAUACAUUACAAUUAAUUACAACGCAUAACGUUAAACGUAGUGCUUAAGUGCCGAAUCAUAUGUGGCAGGGUUUAAAGGAAAGAAUGAAAUAUCAGAAGGCUAAACUGGUUGAUGAAUAAAAAAGGGCUUUUGACAGAAGGCUAUCUACUUAUUUUUCUAAUACUAAUAUGCAAAUAGUGGCUGUUUAUGACAAGGAUUCCUUCUGCCCAACUCCCGUAGUCGAAAUGGAAACCUUUGUUUAGCUAAAGCUCAGACCAAUAGCUAUAGAUGGCUGUAUUUUCAGAAAACCUCGGAAUCUGAAGUUAAUAAGUAUGUUUAUUCGAAUGUAUUUCCAUGGCAAUGUUAUUUUAUGAAAUGACUACCGUUAAAUAAUCCUGCUUAUUGUUAAUGGACUGUGAAGAAAAGUUACGUGUUUCUUCUGAUUGAACACACGGGCUUCCGGAAACACCGGAAAUAAUGCUUCUAUAACUUAGCGAUGUCAAAGUAUACUUAGACCAUAUUAUUGAGAGUACACUGCCAGUAUUAUUAUAAACCUGUGUUUGUAUGAGUCUCAGAUAUCAAAUGGUGAAACUCUAUUUGCUAUGUGAAAUUUGGGAAAAAAAAUCUUGGGCGGUGGUGGCAGAAAUUUGCUUCAAUUAUUUUUUUUUAAUGUUUAUUUUUGAGAGAGACAGAGUGUGAGCGGGGAAGGGGCAGAGGGAGAGGAAGGCACAGAAUCCGAAGCAGGCGCCAGGCUCUGAGCUGUCAGCACAGAGCCCGAUGCGGGGCUCGACACCGUGGACAGGGAGAUGACCACCUGAGCGGAAGUCAGAGGCUUAACCAACUGAGCCACCCAGGUGCCCCUUCAAUUUGUUCUUUAAAAACCCAUGGAAGACAAUAGUGGGCCAAUGGGGGAAAAUGCGGGAAAACUUGCAUUUAUUAAAAUUCGACAUUUCUGGAAUUUUUUUCAACAGUGGAGAGUUUGUGACAUUAUUCAUUUGGAUCUAGUGAAAAUAGGUAAUAACGAUAGUUAUCUUUUAUUGUGAAGAUUAUUUACUUUUGAUAAAAGAAGUGUAUAAUCUUCAUCAUCAUCAUCAUUUUCAUAUUGCUAUUCAUUGGCGCACAAGAAUGGCUUGCUAGAUCUUGGCAAGAAAUUUGGCAAACUUCUUCAUGACAUCUCUGUGGUCCUGCAAUUUGGCUAAACCACGUCACUUUAUCUGAAGUAAGUCUAGGGGCUUUACCAGACUGUGAACUAAGAGUGACAUAGUUGUUGGCAAAUAUAAUUAAAUUGAUACAUAAGGGAAUAGUGGUUAUUGUAUAAAUCAAGAAGGAUGUGUUCCCACUUUUACAGCUGUGUUAGGGCCUCGUUACCCCAAUUUAAAAAUGCCCUCUUUUUGUGUUUGUCCAUGAACUAGCCUGUCAUGGAUGUGAACGUGUAAGCAGACUUUGGAGGCUCUCACUGACUGCUGAAGGGAGGCUAGAUGAGGCCACUGAGUGAUUUGGUAGAAACAACAUAAUGAGCUACCAGGCUCUAAGAACAGCGGCUUCCUGAGACUGACUGGGAAACUGUUUUGAUUGACGGGUCUCACCAGCACACCCGACUGUGCAGGCAGAUAAGAAGCCCACUGGGAGAAGAUAUCAGGGAAGGUAAGGAUGCCAUGAUCCCUUUAUAGGAGAGAGCUGGGGAACUGGCUCUGGGAAGGGGAAACUGCAGAGCAGCAAAAUGAUCUUGAUUACUAGUGACAUUUAAUUGCAAUUAGGUUUUUAACAACAGCAAAAAAAGAUUAUAAAACUCUUCGGUUUCUUUCACAUCAAACUGCCCAUGCUUGGAAUAUUGUCGUGUGCAUUCUUCCUGCAACACCAUCAAAAACAGGUUCACUGUAUUUGCAACAUACUGAGAAGAGUUAAUGGCCAGUGCAGGCGUUCUCCUGGCUUCAGAGUUCAAAGUUAUCUGCUCCCAGAUUCAGCCACACAAAUUAUUCCCUGAGAGUAAUCUUCAGUGAGUUGCUAGGAGAUGACCGGUUUAUGUUUUCCUUUGAUUAUAGGGCAUAACCGCCCCACUGUCAAAAUGCCAAAAGUUAAAAAAAAAAAAAAAAAAAGGCAGUGAUUGCUUAAGAAUAAUGUUUUCCUGU
Leopardus geoffroyi (Geoffroy's cat) is the source of this 2261-nucleotide long non-coding RNA. RefSeq lists it as uncharacterized. The transcript has 2 exons. The record is from RefSeq and is a predicted model, not a curated record. NCBI's taxonomy places the organism in Eukaryota, Metazoa, Chordata, Mammalia, Carnivora, Felidae.